GAUGAAGAACGUAGCGAAAUGCGAUAAGUAAUGCGAAUUGCAGAAUUCCGUGAGUCAUCGAAUCUUUGAACGCACAUUGCGCCCUUUGGCAUUCCGAAGGGCAUGCCUGUUCGAGCGUCAUUUAUCAACCCUCAAGCCCGGCUUGCGGUUGGGUCCCGCCGUGGGCGACCACGGCGGACCCGAAAGGUAAUGGCGGUGCCCUUGGGGCCCUGGACGCAGCGAGCUUCUCGGCACGCGUCCCGGCGGUCCCCGGCGCCGUCUCCACCAAUCCACCACGCAGAUUGACCUCGGAUCAGGUAGGGAUACCCGCUGAACUUAAGCAUAUCAAUAAGCGGAGGA
This 339-nucleotide unclassified non-coding RNA is filed under the name soil metagenome. RNAcentral's name for it is "partial contains 5.8S ribosomal RNA, internal transcribed spacer 2, and large subunit ribosomal RNA". The stretch from base 1 to 120 matches the Rfam family "5.8S ribosomal RNA", at positions 35 to 154 of the family's 154-position model. The record is from RNAcentral.